This 253-nucleotide ribosomal RNA is filed under the name uncultured bacterium. RNAcentral's name for it is "partial 16S ribosomal RNA". It matches the Rfam family "Bacterial small subunit ribosomal RNA", at positions 524 to 776 of the family's 1533-position model. The record is from RNAcentral.
UACGUAGGGGGCUAGCGUUGUCCGGAAUCAUUGGGCGUAAAGAGCGUGUAGGCGGCCCGGUAAGUCCGCUGUGAAAGUCGGGGGCUCAACCCUCGAAUGCCGGUGGAUACUGUCGGGCUAGAGUGCGGAAGAGGCGAGUGGAAUUCCUGGUGUAGCGGUGAAAUGCGCAGAUAUCAGGAGGAACACCGAGUGCGAAGGCAGCUCGCUGGGACGUCACUGACGCUGAGACGCGAAAGCGUGGGGAGCAAACAGG